GGGCGNAANGCGCGCGCAGGCGGGCUGAUAAGUUGGAUGUGAAAGCCUACGGCUCAACCGUAGAACUGCAUCCAAAACUGUCAGUCUAGAGUCUGGGAGGGGAAGAUGGAAUUAGUUGUGUAGGGGUAAAAUCCGUAGAGAUAACUAGGAAUACCAAAAGCGAAGGCGAUCYUCUGGAACAGUACUGACGCUGAGGCGCGAAAGCGUGGGGAGCAAACAGGAUUAGAUACCCUGGUAGUCCACGCCCUAAACGAUGAAUGUUAGUCGUCGGAGGCCUAGUGUCUUCGGUGAUGCAGCUAACGCAUUAAACAUUCCGCCUGGGGAGUACGGUCGCAAGAUUAAAACUCAAAGGAAUAGACGGGGACCCGCACAAGUGGUGGAGCAUGUGGUUUAAUUCGAAGAUACGCGAAGAACCUUACCUAGCCUUGACAUAUAUUAGAACUCUGCAGAGAUGCGGAGGUGCCUUCGGGAGCUUUUAUACAGGUGCUGCACGGCUGUCGUCAGCUCGUGUCGUGAGAUGUUGGGUUAAGUCCCGCAACGAGCGCAACCCUCGUCACUAGUUACUAACGGUUCGGCCGAGGACUCUAGUGAGACUGCCUUCGCAAGGAGGAGGAAGGUGAGGACGACGUCAAGUCAUCAUGGCCCUUACGGCUAGGGCAACACACGUGCUACAAUGGGCAGGACAAUGAGACGCGAUACCGCGAGGUGGAGCAAAUCUAUAAACCUGUUCUCAGUUCGGAUUGUAGUCUGCAACUCGACUACAUGAAGCUGGAAUCACUAGUAAUCGUAGAUCAGCUAUGCUACGGUGAAUACGUUCCCGGGUC
This 824-nucleotide ribosomal RNA is filed under the name uncultured bacterium. Its description in RNAcentral is "bacterial SSU rRNA". It matches the Rfam family "Bacterial small subunit ribosomal RNA", at positions 556 to 1380 of the family's 1533-position model. The record is from RNAcentral.